UACAGAGGCCUCGAGCGUUGUUCGGAUUUACUGGGCGUAAAGGGAAUGUAGGCGGUAGCGUAAGUCAGAUGUGAAAGCCCUAGGCUUAACCUGGGAACUGCAUUUGAUACUGUGCUGCUAGAGUGCGAGAGAGGAAAGUGGAAUUCCAGGUGUAGGGGUGAAAUCCGUAGAUAUCUGGAGGAAUACCAAUGGCGAAGGCAGCUUUCUGGCUCGUAACUGACGCUGAGAUUCGAAAGCGUGGGUAGCAAACAGG
Molecule: ribosomal RNA, 253 nt
Filed under: uncultured bacterium
Lineage: Bacteria
Description: partial 16S ribosomal RNA
Rfam family: Bacterial small subunit ribosomal RNA
Source: RNAcentral